CACGGUCUCCCUCUCCCCACGGUCUUCCUCUCCCUCUCUUUCCACGGUCUCCCUCUGAUGCCGAGCCGAAGCUGGACUGUACUGCUGCCAUCUCGUUUCACUGCAACCUCCCUGCCUGAUUCUCCUGCCUCAGCCUGCCGAGUGCCUGCGAUUGCAGGCGCGCGCCGCCACGCCUGACUGGCUUUUCGUAUUUUUUUGGUGGAGACGGGGUUUCGCUGUGUUGGCCGGGCUGGUCUCCAGCUCCUAACCGCGAGUGAUCGCCAGCCUCGGCCUCCCGAGGUGCCGGGAUUGCAGACGGAGUCUCGUUCACUCAGUGCUCAAUGGCGCCCAGGCUGGAGUGCAGUGGCGUCAUCUCGGCUCGCUACAACCUCCACCUCCCAGCCGCCUGCCUUUGCCUCCCAAAGUGCCGAGAUUGCAGCCUCUGCCCGGCCGCCACCCCGUCUGGGAAGUGAGGAGCGUCUCUGCCUGGCCGCCCAUCGUCUGAGAUGUGGGGAGCACCUCUGCCCCGCCUCCCCAUCUGGGAUGUGAGGAGCGCCUCUGCCCGGCCGCCAUCCCAUCUAGGAAGUGAGGAGCGUCUCUGCCCCGCCGCCCAUCGUCUGAGAUGUGGGGAGCACCUCUGCCCCGCCUCCCCAUCUGGGAUGUGAGGAGCGCCUCUGCCCGGCCGCGACCCCAUCUGGGAGAGUCGCGAAAACUGGAGUGGAGUGGCGCGAUCUUGGCUCACUGCAACCUCUGCUUCCCAGCUUCAAGCAAUUCUUCUGCCUCAGCCUCCCAAGUCGCUGGGAUUACAGGCGCCCACCACACCCAGCUAAUUUUGUUGUUGUUAUUGUUGUUUGUCUCGCUCUGUCGCCCAGGCUGGAGUGUAGUGGCGCGAUCUCCGCUCACUGCAAGCUCCGCCUCCCGGAUUCAUGCCAUUCUCUAGCCUCCUGCCUCAGCCUCCCGAGUAGCUGGGACUACUGGCGCCUGCCACCACGCCCGGCUAAUUUUUUGUAUUUUUCAUAGAGAUGGGGUUUCACCAUGUUAGCCAGGAUGGUCUCGAUCUCCUGACCUCAUGAUCUGCCUGCCUCGGCCUCUCAAAGUGCUGGGAUUACAGGCGUGAGCCACCGCGCCCGGCCUAAUUUUUGUGUUUUUAGUAGAGAUGGGGUUUUGUCAUGUUGGCCAGGCUGGUUUCGAACUCCUGACCCCAGGUAAUCUGCCCAUCUCGGUCUCCCAAAGUGCUGGGAUUACAGGCGUGAGCUACCGUGUCCAGGCUUUUUUAGAUAUUAAGAUUGUCUUUGCCCAACCCAGCUUAUUUCUUGGAGACACAUUGCUGGUCAGCCAAUCAGAUGCUGCCAUUGAGGGUGAAGCACAGAAAUAAUUUCUGCCACCUGUAUUCUCUAAGAUUUGUGAAAGAAAAAGUAGUAUCCCCAAAGACAAAAAACCCAAACAUGACCCCAGUGAAAUGGUGCAAGAACUUGCAAAGUAAAAAGCAUCUGGGGCACUCACUGAGGCAUAGGGCAGUGUCUCCUGAGAGGGUGGUCUUUGAGAACUUAAAUAAGUAGGAUGGGGUGGGAGAAUCUUUCAAGUGAUUAGAUGGCCUGAUUUGACACGUGAGUCAGACACAUUUGUUUUCUCAUCAGUACUGCCACU
This 1626-nucleotide long non-coding RNA is filed under the name Homo sapiens (human). Its description in RNAcentral is "HSALNT0341233". The record is from RNAcentral. Lineage: Eukaryota; Metazoa; Chordata; Mammalia; Primates; Hominidae.